RNAcentral lists this ribosomal RNA (494 nucleotides) under uncultured bacterium. RNAcentral describes it as "partial 16S ribosomal RNA". It matches the Rfam family "Bacterial small subunit ribosomal RNA", at positions 28 to 507 of the family's 1533-position model. The record is from RNAcentral.
GACGAACGCUGGCGGCGUGCUUAACGCAUGCAAGUCGAACGGAAAGGCCUGCUUUCCCUUGUGGAUUGCGGGUACUCGCGUGGCGAACGGGUGAGUAACACGUGAGUGAUCUGCCCCCAACUUGGGUAUAAGCCUGGGAAACUGGGUCUAAUUCCCGAUAGGACUGCAGGGUGGUGCCUGUGGUGGAAAACGAUUUUCUAGUGGUUGGGGAUGAGCUCGCGGCCUAUCAGCUUGUUGGUGGGGUAAUGGCCUACCAAGGCGGCGACGGGUAGCCGGCCUGAGAGGGUGGACGGCCACAUUGGGACUGAGAUACGGCCCAGACUCCUACGGGAGGCAGCAGUGGGGAAUAUUGCACAAUGGGCGGAAGCCUGAUGCAGCGACGCCGCGUGGGGGAUGACGGCCUUCGGGUUGUAAACUCCUUUCGACCGCGAGGAAGCCACCUGGUUGGAAGGGUGGUGACGGUAGUGGUAGAAGAAGCACCGGCUAACUACGUG